GCCUACGGCAAUACCACUCUGAGAGUGCCCGAUCUCAUCUCAUUUUGGAAUCUAAGAAGGGUCAGGCCCAGUUAGUACUUGGAUGGGAGACCGCCUGGGAAUACCGGGUGCUGUAGGCU
Ribosomal RNA from Chloebia gouldiae (Gouldian finch), 119 nucleotides. Lineage: Eukaryota; Metazoa; Chordata; Aves; Passeriformes; Passeridae. The record is from Ensembl.